Molecule: long non-coding RNA, 227 nt
Filed under: Mytilus galloprovincialis (Mediterranean mussel)
Lineage: Eukaryota; Metazoa; Mollusca; Bivalvia; Mytilida; Mytilidae
Source: RNAcentral
UUGUCUCGUUAUGUCUUUCAUCCCACUUCAUAUUGACUUCCCUCUGUGUAAUUAUAUUGGUUGCGAUGGUGAAUGAGUGAUAUUUCAUAAUGUAAGUCAUUUUUCUUAAAAUUCUUGUAUGUUUUUAUUAAAUACUAUUCUUUUAAAGAGUCAUUAAAAUAGAGAAUGGAAAUGGGGAAUUCAUUUAAAAUGAUAUGCAUUGCUCAAAAGUUUCCUUGGUAUGAAAU